Molecule: long non-coding RNA, 524 nt
Filed under: Salvia miltiorrhiza (redroot sage)
Lineage: Eukaryota; Viridiplantae; Streptophyta; Magnoliopsida; Lamiales; Lamiaceae
Description: long non-coding RNA (SMIL_LNC001633)
Source: RNAcentral
CUUGAGGUUAAAACCAUCCGGUCCCGGGCUCUUGUCACCGUCACAGCUCCAAAUGGCCUCUUUAAUUUCUGAUUCUGAAAAAUUUUUGAUCAGCUCCGCAUUAUUCUCUGCAGAAACUCGCCGAGCAGUGAAAUCUCCCGGUAUCAUAGGUAGGACGCGCGGCGUCUUCUUGAAGUGAUUCUCGAAGAACGUUUUGACGUUCUCCUUAAUGUUCUUUGGAUCCUCGAUCCAGUAGCCCCCAACAUCAAGCCCUGCAAUUUCAUUCUUCUUUCUUCUCCCAACAAUUGCUUUGUGAUAAAAACUAGUAUUCAGAUCGCCCUCCUUGACCCAUUUGACUUUCGCCUUUUGUUGGAGAAGACUACAUUUUUCUUUGGAUUUAAGGAAAAUCUUUGCUCGUAAUUCAUUUCUCCUGAUUGUCUCACUCUCCUCAAGACCAAAGGUGUCAUCAAAAAUGUCCAGCUCCUGAAGUUCAUCCUUAAGAUCUGUCAAUCCGUGCUCAAUGUUGCCAUAAAUCCUCAGAUUCC